UACGGAGGGUGCAAGCAUUAAUCGGAUUUAUUGGGCGUAAAGGGCGCGUAGGCGGGGAUAUAAGUCAGAUGUGAAAUCCCGAGGCUCAACCUCGGAACUGCAUUUGAAACUAUAUCUCUUGAGGAUAGGAGGAGAAAACGGAAUUCCACAAGUAGCGGUGAAAUGCGUAGAUAUGUGGAAGAACAUCUGUGGCGAAGGCGGUUUUCUAUCUUAUUCCUGACGCUGAGGCGCGAAAGCAAGGGGAUCAAACAGG
This 253-nucleotide ribosomal RNA is filed under the name uncultured bacterium. RNAcentral describes it as "partial 16S ribosomal RNA". It matches the Rfam family "Bacterial small subunit ribosomal RNA", at positions 524 to 776 of the family's 1533-position model. The record is from RNAcentral.